AACUUUUGACAACGGAUCUCUUGGUUCUCGCGUCGAUGAAGAACGCAGCGAAAUGCGAUAAGUAAUGUGAAUUGCAGAAUUCAGUGAAUCAUCGAACCUUUGAACGCACAUCGCGCCCUUUGGUAUUCCGAGGGGCAUGCCUUUUCGAGCGUCAUCACAACAAUCCAGCUUAGAGUUGCGUAGAGAUGCGCAAUGUGGCUGGCGCUUGGGCGAUCGUCUGCAAACAGCAGACGGGCCUCAAAGACCAUGGCAGCCUUGUCUGUUGGCACUAGCGUAGUAUAUAUACAAAGCGCUAUGGCGUCCUUCGCUGGCUUGUCCACAUAACUUCAUUAGUACCAGUUUGACCUCGGAUAAGGCAGGGGUACCCGCUGAACUUAAGCAUAUCAAUAAGCGGAGGCU
Molecule: unclassified non-coding RNA, 399 nt
Filed under: uncultured Ascomycota
Lineage: Eukaryota; Fungi; Ascomycota
Description: sequence contains ITS2
Rfam family: 5.8S ribosomal RNA (bases 1-154)
Source: RNAcentral